This 372-nucleotide ribosomal RNA is filed under the name uncultured delta proteobacterium. RNAcentral's name for it is "bacterial SSU rRNA". It matches the Rfam family "Bacterial small subunit ribosomal RNA", at positions 1111 to 1482 of the family's 1533-position model. The record is from RNAcentral. Lineage: Bacteria; Deltaproteobacteria.
UUAGUUACCAUCAUUAAGUUGGGGACUCUAGAGACACUGCUCCGGUUAACGGGGAGGAAGGUGGGGAUGACGUCAAGUCCUCAUGGCCUUUAUGUCCAGGGCUACACACGUGCUACAAUGGGUUGUACAAAGGGUUGCGAGCCUGCGAAGGUGAGCUAAUCCCAUAAAGCAGUCCUCAGUUCGGAUUGGAGUCUGCAACUCGACUCCAUGAAGUUGGAAUCGCUAGUAAUCGCGGAUCAGCAUGCCGCGGUGAAUACGUUCCCGGGCCUUGUACACACCGCCCGUCACACCAUGAGAGUUGGUUGUACCAGAAGUUGUUGGGCAAACCCUUCGGGGAUGCAAGCACCUAAGGUAUGAUUGAUGAUUAGGGUG